GGAGAGGUGACCGAGUGGUUUAUGGUGCUGGUCUUGAAAACCAGUGUGGCUUCACGGCUACCGGGGGUUCGAAUCCCUCCCUCUCCG
This 87-nucleotide transfer RNA is filed under the name Elusimicrobia bacterium CG1_02_37_114. RNAcentral describes it as "tRNA-Ser". It matches the Rfam family "tRNA". From Rfam's summary of the family: Transfer RNA (tRNA) molecules are approximately 80 nucleotides in length. Their secondary structure includes four short double-helical elements and three loops (D, anti-codon, and T loops). Further hydrogen bonds mediate the characteristic L-shaped molecular structure. tRNAs have two regions of fundamental functional importance: the anti-codon, which is responsible for specific mRNA codon recognition, and the 3' end, to which the tRNAs corresponding amino acid is attached (by aminoacyl-tRNA synthetases). tRNAs cope with the degeneracy of the genetic code in two manners: having more than one tRNA (with a specific anti-codon) for a particular amino acid; and 'wobble' base-pairing, i.e. permitting non-standard base-pairing at the 3rd anti-codon position. RNAcentral also lists the same sequence under 2 other names. The record is from RNAcentral. Lineage: Bacteria; Pseudomonadati; Elusimicrobiota.